CAGAAUCUUAGUAAUCUCCUGGACAGAAUGGGCAAGCUAUUGCUGGAGGUCUUAUACUCUGGAGCAUGAAGCAGAGGUUGGGCAGAAGAUCCAGGCCCCAGGCUUCCUGCGUGGGGAGUACUGUUCCUAUCUUGGGCUGAUGACGUGCAAAGCAAACUCCAGUGGGAUUUCUUGGCAGAGCCUUAUCUUGGGAAGGAGAAGCCAACCAGAGGCCCUUGAGGUUAAACAUGGAGCCCAGAACGAUUUCCAGGAAGAAUGUGGAGUGAUAAAGCAGCAACAACAAAUCAGCCUCUCCAAGAUUCAGAGUCCAGACACUGGAAAAUAAAAACUUGGGGAAGUAAAGGAGGGAAGUAGAUUCCUGGGGCCCAGGAAGAAUCUGACGGGAAAAUUGGAGAAAUUGAAGAGACAGACAAAAACACAGAAAAAGGAGGGGGCAAUCUGCACGUUCUCCCUGGAUCCUGGCUUGUGACAAGAGAAAGGAAGAUUGAAUCUACAGAGACACAGUAAAUGCAGGCAGCCCCAGAGGCCUUCAUGGAAAAAUGCAGCAGUGGAACAGAGCAGUGGGUGCCAAACAUGACAACGGGUGGUGAGUGACUCCAGUCCAAACAUCUACCAUAGCUCCUGGAGUGAGUGUGUGUUGAGUUGCCAUUUUAGGGAGGGGCCAACUGAACUCAGGACUCAGAAUAGUCAUAGAUUGGCUUCAUCUCAGGGCUUCCAGUGUUAAACUCCCACAGGGACUGGGUGAGGGACAACCACGGGAGAUAUCCAUGGUAAGGGAGCUGUGAUCAGGCCAGCAAGACACACCCUCAGUGUUAUAAGCUAAAUGACUCAGGCCUCACCCCC
This 843-nucleotide long non-coding RNA is filed under the name Fukomys damarensis (Damara mole-rat). Its description in RNAcentral is "lncRNA (ENSFDAG00000030636.1)". The record is from RNAcentral. Lineage: Eukaryota; Metazoa; Chordata; Mammalia; Rodentia; Bathyergidae.